Molecule: non-coding RNA, 1858 nt
Organism: Nerophis lumbriciformis (worm pipefish)
Lineage: Eukaryota; Metazoa; Chordata; Actinopteri; Syngnathiformes; Syngnathidae
Source: the annotation of a RefSeq genome assembly
GAGACUUGACAAGGAGGACCGGGUGAACGUGCGCAGGUUGGGAAGGAAUCCCCAGGACUACCCAGCAGACCCGCAGGCUACCGGAGCGAACCCCCAGAAUCCCACAACACGCAGGGGCAGAGGAAACUCUGCCUCCAAAGCCCCGCCUCCUCAGCCACCAAGUCAGCGUGCACAGAGCCCAGGAGUGCAAACAUGAAGCGUGCAUUGGUGUGUGUGCUGAUGGCUGCCUGGAGCCUUGGAUGUGGCAGCCAGACGGUGCACCAGCCAGCAGAGAAUGUGUACGCCAUGAAAGGCAACUCAGUUACGCUGGACUGCCACUAUGAAAAUUCUGGAAGCUUCGACUACAUCUUCUGGUACAAACAGGACGGGCAGACGGCACCAAAGUCCAUCCUGAGCCUCUUAAUAUUGGAUGAGGGCAAAACUGAGAGCAGCUUUGAAAAGAGGUUGAGCUGCAGCAUCAAUGACACCGCCAAGCGAGCUCCUCUGAAGAUCCAAGACGUGCAGCUGAACGACUCUGCUGUCUUCUACUGCGCCAUCCAGCCCACAAUGACUGACAUCUCUGCUGCACCUGCACAAAAACCUCUGUAGGCUCCUCAUCCCACUAUGGCUGUUUGAGAGCUGGUUCUGAGGAGGUUUUCACAGCUUUUGUCCUUGUCAGGACAUCACAUGGGUGGCGAACUGGAGAUGUUUUUUAUUUACAUACCUUAAUUGUUUCCAAACCGUGUCUCUAACACGGCAGUAAACAGCUGAUCAAACACAACAGAAGUCAUCGUCAUGGACCCACUAGCUGCAGAAGCUAGCUCUCCAUCAGCUAAACAGACUCAAUCAGUCCACGGUGACGUUUUAGUGAAUUUAGUGAGUAAUUUGUGGAACUGAAUCAAUGCAAAUAGGAUGCCGCUGUAAGUUAAUAACACUAACACAAACACCUGUAAAUGUGUAGGCAUACUAGCUAUUGCUAACAAUGCUAGCUUCAUUACAUUACGUAUGAAUAAGCAUUAAAACACUUCUACAGACAUCCCACGUGGGACGGUCAUACUUGCCAACCCUCCCGGACUUUCCGGGAAACUCCCGAAAUUCAGCGCCACUCCCGAAAACCUCCCGGGACAAAUUUUCUCCCGAAAAUCCCCCGAAAUUCCGGCGGAGCUGGAGGCCACGCCCCCUCCAGCUCCAUGCGGACCUGAGUUAUGACAACUUGCUUUCCCACAAUAUAAACAGCGUGCCUGCCCAAUCACGUUAUAACUGUAGAAUGAUCGAGGGCGAGUUCUUGGUUUCUUAUGUGGGUUUAUUGUUAGGCAGUUUCAUUAACGUCCUCCCAGCGCGGUAACAACACACAACAACAGCAGUCACGUUUUCGUCUACCGUAAAGCAGUUCGUCUGCCGUAAACAGCAAUGUUGUGACACUCUUAAACAGGGCAAUACUGCCAUCUACUGUACAUGCAUAUGUGACAAUAACAUCUACGGAUUUUAGAGAGUGCAGUGCACAACUGCGCACACAACAAGGAGACGAAGCAGAAGAACGAGGAAGAUACAGCCAUGGCGACGCCGAGGACGAGUAAGAUGAAGAAAUGCACUUGUAAGUUCCAAGCCGCAGCUACUAUUGGACCUGGAUAGCCUCCGGGAAGAAGUAGUGGACUACCAAGUGCUUGGCAGUGAAGAAAAGAUUGACCGGUUUUGGGCCAUGCUAGGGAGGGAUGGAAGAUUCCAGACUCCAGUGCAUUUGAUGAAAGCACUUUUGUGCGUGCCACACAGCAAUGCAUCAUCAGAGAGGGUGUUCAGCAUGGUUAGAAAAAUAGUGAGAGAGAAUAGAACAAGGAUGGACAAUUCAACCCUUAACUCAACAAUGAGGAGAUGACUGUUA